GUUUGGGAGAAACUACAGGGGCUUGGAAAUAAUGCUUUAUAAAAGGGAAGGAUACAGUGCAGAUUCCAAAUGGAGAACUGUAAGAGCCCUCUAGGGGGCUUCUGAACUAACCAGGGUCAAUGGCGUUUUCAUGCCAGACUGGUAUAUGAGGUCCUUUUGCUUUUCCCUACGCAUUUACUGCCAGUUGACACUUUGGUUAAUUCAGCCACUAAUUUGAUGGCCUUAGCCCCCUCUUAAUUUGGCAUCUGUAAAAUGGGAGUAAUUUUAACCAAGCUUGGGGUAUGUGUGUGUUAGAGGACAAACAAGCUGAUGUUUAUGAAGCAUGUUAAUGCAUUAGGUACCCCUGCCCGUACGGGCCAGUUGUGUCCGACUCUAGGGUUGUGCGCCCAUCUCACUUAAGAGGCCGGGGGCCAGCGCUGUUCGGAGACACUUCCAGGUCACGUGGCCAGCGUGACGAAGCUGCUCUGGCGAGCCAGCACCAGCGCAGCACACGGAAACGCCGUUCACCUUCCCGCUAUAAAGCGGUACCUAUUUAUCUACUUGCACUUAAGGGUGCUUUCAAACUGCUAGGUGGGCAGGAGCUGGGACCGAAAGACGGGAGCUCACUCCGCCGCGGGGAUUCGAACCGCCGACCAUACGAUCGGCAAGUCCUAGGCACUGAGGUUUUACCCACAGCGCCACCCGUGUGUAAUGUUAAUGCAUUACAACUGCUGAAUAAAUGAGGACAGUAAUGGCCACCAACGUAUGUGGGACUGACAUGGGUUAGAUGGUUGGUAAUUUUUCUUGGGCCAUUGCUGUAGGAAUUCUUGCAUAGUAUGUGGCCUUUAAAUGCUCUUUUGAUGAUGUGGACUGAGAGCCUGUAGUGUCAAUGCAAGAGGAGCUAUCAUACAAGAUUAUUUAAAGGCACACAACUCUUCACGAGAAUAAGCAUUCAUGCAUUAAAUUAGCCAUACUACCAGUGCUAUUUUUAUGGGGGUAUGCAGGGGUACACAUACCACUAAACAUUUUGUGACCCUAAGUUUGGCUUCAUUGAGGGACAGUAUUUCAAUAUGAGUAGGAAAAUGAGAGUACCCCUUAACAUUUUUUUUAAGGAAUGUUUGUUCUUAAAUAACUCCUUUCUACUCAGGUGAAGGUGCAGUAUUUCUGCACCCAUUUUAAGCACCUAGUUGUCAAUAAGGCAAUAUAUUUUUUAAUAACUGGGAAGGGGAAAGCUAUGUAUGUGACGAUACUAAUUCAGACAAGCUUCUUUUCUUUUGUUUGGCAGUUUGAAUAUAGCUUUAGUACUUGGGAAAAAUCCUCUUCCAAUUACACAGCAGUUUUGUGGUGGCAGAAUGCUAUAAUGGGAAUGCUUUUGCAGCCAAAGCUAUCUCAUUCAUAAAUCCUGCUGAUCCACUCUAUAAUUUUGAUUCUCUUUUGGAUAGAUCAGUAUUCUGUGGUCAUAUCAGCAACAAUCAUGCAAGCAAAAAUGAGUAGUUAAAUAUUGUGACAGUCCUAUAAGUCUUCUUACGGUUUUGUGCAUAACACAGUUAUUCAAAAGUGUCAUUUGGUAUGUAGAAGGGAAUUGACCCUUCACUAAUAUUUUCCAGUAAAGCUCUUCAUAAAAAAUGACUGGAGAAAUAGCUAUGUGAGAAUUGGCUAGGUGUCCUUUCCAUUAAUUUUGCAGUAAAUGCAAACUGCUGGGUCAUGUUUAAGGGCAAUUGAAUGCAUAUUACAAACACACACACACACACACACACACACACACACACACACACACACACACACACACUCUGCAUGUGAAUAUCCUAUACACAUACUUUAUCCUUACAUGUGUUCUUGCUUUGUAUACUCUUAUGGGAGUAUUUCUAGCAACUGUGGGAGAAGUUCUAGCAACCCAAACAAUAUUUGUUGCAGGGUUUAUUAGCAUAACAAAAUAAAUAACAUCCAGGCUGCAUUCAGUACACAUCAUGAACUUCUUAUACUUCGAUUUUGGCAAAGUUUAUCCAAAUAACGAUUUGACCCAGCUGUGAAUGGGAGCACUGGGAGCCCAGGCAGUUCUAGGAAUACAGUGGUACCUUGCAAGACGAAUGCCUCGCAAGACAAAAAACUCGCUAGACGAAAGGGUUUUUAGUUUUUUGAGUUGCUUCGCAAGACGAUUUUCCCUAUGGGCUUGCUUCGCAAGACGGAAACGUCUUGCAAGUUUGUUUCCUUUUCUUAACACCGUUAAUACAGUUGCGACUUGACUUCGAGGAGCAACUCAUAGAACGUGGUGUGGUAGCCUUUUUUGAGGUUUUUAAAGACUUUGGUGAUUUUUGAAGCUUUUCCAAAACUUUCCCAACACCGUGCUUCGCAAGACAAAAAAAAUCGCAAGACGACAAAACUCGCGGAACGAAUUAAUUUUGUCUUGCGAGGCACCACUGUAAUAGAAUUAGAAUUGGAAGGGACCCCUUAGGUCAUCUAGCCCAACUCCCUGCAAUGCAGGAAUCUCAACUAGAUCAUACUUGACAGAUGGCCAUACAACUUCUGCUUAGAAACCUCCAAGGAAGGAGAGCCCACCACCUUCCAAAAGAGUCCGUUCCACUGUCAAACAGCUCUUCCUAUCAGAAAGUUCUUCCCCAUGAUUAGUCAGAAUCUCCUUUUUUGCAACCUCAAGCCAUUGGUUCAUAUCCUACCCUCCAGAGCAGAAGAAAACAAGCUUGCCCCGUCCUCUGUGUGACAGCCCUUUAGAUAUUUGAAGUUGGCUAUUGUAUCUCUUCACACUCUCCUCUUUAUCAGGCUAGACGUAACCUAUUCCCUCAACUGUUCCUCAUCAGGCUUGAUGCUUUCCAGACCAGACACAUUUCCCUAUGUUUACAUCACUGAAUAACUCCUACAGUCCAUGUCUAUUGGUUGAGUGAGUGAAUGGAUGUAUUUAUUUAUCAUACAGGCCAUAUUGUAUUCCAUGUCAAUCAAGGUAACACAGCACACACUGAUUCAAUGACUUUGUGAAUGGACAGAAUAAACUGAUUAUAAAGUUACAAUCCCUUUGUCUAAAGAAAUGUGAUUUAUGAAUUAUAUAUGUUAACCACUACUUCUAAAGAAGAACAUGACUCCCUGCUUUCUGUUCUGUGAGCAUCAAGGAAUAUGUCAACUACAGAUGGGAAAUUGGUUGGGAUGGCCUAAUAAUGUUUGUGCUAUAAUAAUAUUUUCUUUCAAGGAGGCUUGAUAGGUAGGCUGUGCUUCAUGCUGAAGAUUUAACUGAAUGACUAAUUUCCCCUCAGGUCAAUUGAGCCAAUGAUAUAAAGUUGUUGUUGUUUUUGCAAUGUCUUGUUUUCUUUCCUGGCUGAGAUGGAGAUGCACCUUUUUAACUUUAACUCUUGUUAUGCUUCUAGCUUUGAUUUUAUGACUAGCAAACUGAUACCUAUGUUUGUUUACUUGGAAGUAAGUUCUUUGUUCAGUGGAACCUUUCCCCCAGGAAAUAAAGUUUAGGAUUGCAGCUUAAAUCUAUGACAGGUGAAGAGUGAGGGGAUUUGAAUCGGUGAUGUUAUGGUGAUCUCCAAGCUGGUUUUGUCUUAGUUGCACUUCAGUCCAUUUUGCCCAUUAAAAACUUACAUAAUUCCAGAAUCUGAAGUUGCUUGGCAGAAGAUGCAGCUUUCAUUUGGGGUUUUUUAAAAAGUUGAUCUUUACUAUUUUCUCUUCAUCCAAAAGCCUGCCAGAAGAGGUGUGUCUUCACCUGAGAAACACUAUUUAUAAUAGUGUAUAUAGCUAGUAAUAUACUGAGUGUAAUGAAGCAUGCAAGUAUGCACACAGAUGCCAUCAAUAUCAGAGUAUUCAGGACACAUGUAAAUAAGAGUAAUAUUCACAGAUAUACAAAAAGGUGUUUCAGAAUAUGUUUCCUCAAAAUUUCUGCCUACUGUAAAUACACAGAGCACAGAAGCAAAUAAGUGGAUGCACUUUAUGAACAUUCCACCCUCCUGAAAAACACAUCGCUUUGGGGGAAGUUUUUAAGGGAAACACAUAAGGAGUUCCCUUUAUGCAAAAAUAUGCCUGGACACAUUUUAUUUAGAAACUGAAUUAAUUAAUUUAAUAGAAAAAGGCCUGGGCACUGCAUGAAUGGAGUUCUGCUUGCACAAAGGCCCUUUCCCUUUGCCUUGUCCGCUGUGUCCCCCAACUCUCUGGAGGGUGGGCAAUAGGCAAGAGGAGAAGAGGGGGAAGUUCCACAGCACAAGCAGAAGUCUGAUGAGCAAGUGAAACAGUGGUGUUGGAUACAAUCCAUGAAAAACAGGCGUACCACACAGUAACUUUGAACCCAUUAUUUCAAUGCAACUCACAAUAAAUGCCUCUUCAUCAAACUAUUCAUAAAUUAUGUCAGUUGCAGUUGACACCAUCCAAAGACCCUGCUGGAAGAGGUGUGUCUUUGCAUGAGAAAUGCUUUAAUAGUGUAUGCAGUUCUGACUACCUUAUCUUUAAAAAAAUGGUUAUUACAGAGCUGGGUUUGGUCAGUGAGCCUGAGCAAGAGAAAGGAUCAGAGGUUAGGUUAUGACUGAAUAAAAUCAUCAAUGCUUAAAAUAAGAAAGCUGCUUUG
RNAcentral lists this long non-coding RNA (4543 nucleotides) under Podarcis lilfordi (Lilford's wall lizard). The record is from RNAcentral. Lineage: Eukaryota; Metazoa; Chordata; Lepidosauria; Squamata; Lacertidae.